Molecule: ribosomal RNA, 324 nt
Filed under: uncultured eukaryote
Lineage: Eukaryota
Description: partial 18S ribosomal RNA
Rfam family: Eukaryotic small subunit ribosomal RNA
Source: RNAcentral
CCCUUAGAUGUCCUGGGCUGCACGCGCGCUACACUGAUGUGUCCAGUAAGCACCUAACCUCUUCCGAAAGGAACGGGUAACCUUUGCAAAGCACAUCGUGAUGGGGAUAGAUUAUUGCAAUUAUUAGUCUUGAACGAGGAAUUCCUAGUAAGCACAAGUCAUCAGCUUGUGUUGAUUACGUCCCUGCCCUUUGUACACACCGCCCGUCGCUCCUACCGAUUGAAUGUUCCGAUGAGCUCUUCGGACUGCGCGGUCUGCAGUUUCUGCGUUCCGUGCGGAAAGUUGCGCAAACCUUAACAUUUAGAGGAAGGAGAAGUCGUAACA